UACGGGAGGCAGCAGUGGGGAAUAUUGCACAAUGGGCGAAAGCCUGAUGCAGCUAUGCCGCGUGUAUGAAGAAGGCCUUAGGGUUGUAAAGUACUUUCAUCGGGGAGGAAAAAACAAAACUAAUAAUUUUAUUUCUUGACGUUACCCGAAAAAGAAGCACCGGCUAACUUCGUGCCAGCAGCCGCGGUAAUACGGAGGGUGCUAGCGUUAAUCAGAAUUACUGGGCGUAAAGAGCACGUAGGUGGUUUUUUUAAGUCAGAUGUGAAAUCCCUGGGCUUAACCUAGGAACUGCAUUUUGAAACUGAAAUACUAGAGUAUCGUAGAGGGAGGUAGAAUUCUAGGUGUAGCGGUGAAAUGCGUAGAUAUCUGGAGGAAUACCUGUGGCGAAAGCGGCCUCCUAAACGAAUACUGACACUGAGGGUGCGAAAGCGUGGGGAGCAAACAGGGAUUAGAUACC
RNAcentral lists this ribosomal RNA (457 nucleotides) under uncultured bacterium. RNAcentral's name for it is "bacterial SSU rRNA". It matches the Rfam family "Bacterial small subunit ribosomal RNA", at positions 340 to 786 of the family's 1533-position model. The record is from RNAcentral.